This 1682-nucleotide long non-coding RNA is filed under the name Chrysemys picta bellii (western painted turtle). RNAcentral's name for it is "lncRNA (ENSCPBG00000005452.1)". Lineage: Eukaryota; Metazoa; Chordata; Testudines; Emydidae. The record is from RNAcentral.
UAAACUUGAACAUUAAGAAAAGUACUGUUAGUACUUCUGUUCUGUGACAUAGGCACUACAUUGCUGUUUUUUUAGAAUUGUAGAAGUCUGUUUUCCUCAGAAAUGAUGCACCUCAGAUGCCUGUGAAUAUCUCCAGGCUUUCUAUCAGGUGUUCAAUAGAAGCUGCUGCAUUUAGAUCAGCUUGGAUUUAAUUUGUUUUUGAUCAUUUAUGGUACACGCGCUGUUUGGAAAAGUAACUGAAAGUUUCUCUAGCUCAUGUACUUCUAAGGGAGACGAAUAACUGAUCUUUCCUUCCUUUGGAGGGAUCUCUUGAGCCUGUGUGGAAAACAAAGAGUUACAGCAGUGCUGACUCUUUUCCUUCCCACCUACCUUGAACGCAGACUGGCUCUCUCUUUAAGCAGUAUGCCGAAGGUGAAAUGAGAGAGGCAAUAGGAAAAAGUGCACCUUAUUCAAGUUCCUUUCAGGAUUUUGGUGAUUAGAAUUGCCAGAAGCAAGUCCUCGAAGCAUAAAGAUGCAGUCUUUCCCCUCCAAACGGAUCCCUGUGGUAUACAGCAUACCAGCUCCCAAUGAUUCUGAACAUGGAUCUGGGCAGAGUCCGAAUCUUCACCAUCUCCAGUCUCCUCAAGAAGAAAUCUCAUAUGUGCAGCAUUCUUUCUUCAAACAGAUGAAUUUGCAUUUCUGGAGAAGGUGGCUUCUAGGAAUGUUACCUCUGAUUUCCUUAGCAGUCACUGUACUCGUGUUGGUCCUGUACUAUUCAUUAUGUAAGUGCCUUUCCUCAAUAACACCAUUUAUUUUUCAAUACCCAUUUAAGUGCUGAAUCCAUUCCGUAUUUUGACAGGUACAACUUAAAAGUUAGGCUGAUGAGUUAAUGUUAAUUCAAAGGCAGUAACUAUGUGUUGAUAAACAGUAGUUAGAGAAUCAUGAAGGUGUGGAUUGUGCUUGGACACUUGAUAGAUUCCAUAGUCAGUAGGGCUGCAGUUAAGGGAGUUAGCGCCCGCAUGCCAUUGCAAUUCAGUCAUCUUUUCAAUGGGAUUUGGAUCCUAUAGAAACUCGCCCUUUUAAAAUCCCAGCCUAAAAUCAUAAAAAUUUCUAUCCUUGUGAGCCAGUAAUGUUUUAGCAAAUUGAAAGUAUAGGUUGAAAUCCAACACUGCCAACAUUGCCAACAUUUGUGCUCUACUCCCCUACAAAUACAGUAUUAUUCUCUAUUGAGUAUUAUCCUCAGCCAUUGAAUAGCAGUAGUUUGAUUCAUUAACAUGCCCUAUUUUCACAUCAUUCUGUUGAGUAACAUCAAGGUUAAAUCAGUUCUUUCACAAGCAUCUGGUUCUUGAACGUUUGGAGCAAGGCUAAGCUAUUAACUUUGCUAAUGCAUGAUCCUGUUUCUGUAGCUCCAGCAUUCUCCUUUAUCUAUAUUGGUGGAAGUGUAGAAAUACCUAACUUGACCUAUAGAAGUGACCUCACUGAUCCAAAGUCACAGAAAUUUAUAAUGCAAGCAGAAGCAAUCCAGAACUAUGUAAGUACUCACAGGUGACAUAGCCUAUAACUCGAAAACAUUUUAUCACUGGUUUAGUUGAAAUCCUUUCUUCAAAAUUCAAAGGUAUAGUAGAAAGCUGAGGUUUGAGUCAUGGGUAUUUGUUCUUUUCUUUCAAAGUAAUAAAAUCUAGGAUUAGUCUGGGAGAGAGUCA